This 504-nucleotide ribosomal RNA is filed under the name uncultured bacterium. RNAcentral describes it as "partial 16S ribosomal RNA". It matches the Rfam family "Bacterial small subunit ribosomal RNA", at positions 30 to 523 of the family's 1533-position model. The record is from RNAcentral.
AUUGAACGCUGGCGGCAUGCCUUACACAUGCAAGUCGAACGGCAGCAUGGAGAGCUUGCUCUCUGAUGGCGAGUGGCGAACGGGUGAGUAAUGCAUCGGAACGUACCGUGUAAUGGGGGAUAACGUAGCGAAGGUUACGCUAGUACCGCAUACGACCUGAGGGUGAAAGCAGGGGAUCGCAAGACCUUGCGUUAUACGAGCGGCCGAUGUCAGAUUAGCUAGUUGGUGAGGUAAAGGCUCACCAAGGCGACGAUCUGUAGCGGGUCUGAGAGGAUGAUCCGCCACACUGGGACUGAGACACGGCCCAGACUCCUACGGGAGGCAGCAGUGGGGAAUUUUGGACAAUGGGGGCAACCCUGAUCCAGCCAUGCCGCGUGAGUGAAGAAGGCCUUCGGGUUGUAAAGCUCUUUCGGCCGGGAAGAAAUCGCACAGGCUAAUACUCUGUGUGGAUGACGGUACCGGCAUAAGAAGCACCGGCUAACUACGUGCCAGCAGCCGCAGUAA